CCAAUAUUCCCAGGUAGCCCACAGUGUCCUACAAAAAAACUCUGGGUUAGACAUAUGGGGUUCUGG
Canis lupus familiaris (dog) is the source of this 66-nucleotide non-coding RNA. The record is from Rfam. NCBI's taxonomy places the organism in Eukaryota, Metazoa, Chordata, Mammalia, Carnivora, Canidae.